This 460-nucleotide ribosomal RNA is filed under the name uncultured bacterium. Its description in RNAcentral is "partial 16S ribosomal RNA". It matches the Rfam family "Bacterial small subunit ribosomal RNA", at positions 338 to 795 of the family's 1533-position model. The record is from RNAcentral.
CCUACGGGUGGUUGCAGUGAGGAAUAUUGGGCAAUGGACGAGAGUCUGAACCAGCCAAGUAGCGUGAAGGAUGACUGCCCUCUGGGUUGUAAACUUCUUUUAUAUGGGAGUAAAAUGUUCCACGUGUGGGGUUUUGUAUGUACCAUAUGAAUAAGGAACGGCUCACUCCGUGCCAGCAGCCGCGGUAAUACGGAGGAUCCGAGCGUUAUCCGGAUUUAUUGGGUUGAAAGGGAGCGUAGGUGGAUUGUUAAGUCAGGUGUGAAAGUUUGCGGCUCAACCGUAAAAUUGCAGUUGAAACUGGCAGUCUUGAGUACAGUAGAGGUGGGCGGAAUUCGUGGUGUAGCGGUGAAAUGCUUAGAUAUCACGAAGAACUCCGAUUGCGAAGGCAGUUCACUGGACUGCAACUGACACUGAGGCGCGAAAGUGUGGGUAUCAAACAGGAUUAGAUACCCUGGUAGUC